Molecule: ribosomal RNA, 439 nt
Filed under: uncultured bacterium
Lineage: Bacteria
Description: bacterial SSU rRNA
Rfam family: Bacterial small subunit ribosomal RNA
Source: RNAcentral
CCUCGGGACGCAGCAGUGGGGAAUAUUGGACAAUGGGCGAGAGCCUGAUCCAGCAAUGCCGCGUGUGUGAAGAAGGUCUUCGGAUUGUAAAGCACUUUCGACGGGGACGAUGAUGACGGUACCCGUAGAAGAAGCCCCGGCUAACUUCGUGCCAGCAGCCGCGGUAAUACGAAGGGGGCUAGCGUUGCUCGGAAUGACUGGGCGUAAAGGGCGCGUAGGCGGUUUAUGCAGUCAGAUGUGAAAUCCCCGGGCUUAACCUGGGAACUGCAUUUGAGACGCAUAGACUAGAGGUCGAGAGAGGGUUGUGGAAUUCCCAGUGUAGAGGUGAAAUUCGUAGAUAUUGGGAAGAACACCGGUGGCGAAGGCGGCAACCUGGCUCGAUACUGACGCUGAGGCGCGAAAGCGUGGGGAGCAAACAGGAUUAGAUACCCCGGUAGUC